CCUACGGGAGACAGCAGUGAGGAAUAUUGGUCAAUGGACGUAAGCCUGAACCAGCCACGCCGCGUGAGGGAUGAAGGUUCUAUGGUUCGUAAACCUCUUUUAUAAGGGAGUAAAGUGUGGGACGUGUCCUAUUAUGUAUGUACCUUAUGAUUAAGGAUCGGCUAACUCCGUGCCAGCAGCCGCGGUAAUACGGAGGAUCGGAGCGUUAUCCGGAUUUCUUGGGUUUAAAGGGUGGGUUGGCGGCCUUUUAAGCCAGCGGUGAAAGGCUGUGGAUCAAACAUGGAAUUGCGGUUGAAACUGGUGGGCUUGAGUAUGUUUGAGGCAGGCGGAAGGCGUGGUGUAGCGGUGAAAUGCUUAGAUAUCACGCAGAACCCCGAUUGCGAAGGCAGUCUGCUAAGCCAUGACUGACGCUGAUGCACGAAAGCGUGGGGAUCAAACAGGAUUAGAUACCCGAGUAGUC
Molecule: ribosomal RNA, 460 nt
Filed under: uncultured bacterium
Lineage: Bacteria
Description: partial 16S ribosomal RNA
Rfam family: Bacterial small subunit ribosomal RNA
Source: RNAcentral